RNAcentral lists this ribosomal RNA (232 nucleotides) under uncultured bacterium. Its description in RNAcentral is "partial 16S ribosomal RNA". It matches the Rfam family "Bacterial small subunit ribosomal RNA", at positions 118 to 347 of the family's 1533-position model. The record is from RNAcentral.
UGAGCAAUCUGCCCUUCUCAUCGGAAUAAGCGUUGGAAACGACGUCUAAUGCCGAAUACGACCUCCUUUCGCAUGAUCGGAGGUGGAAAGCUCCGGCGGAGAAGGAUGAGCUCGCGGCCUAUCAGCUAGUUGGUGUGGAUAACGGCCCACCAAGGCGACGACGGGUAGCCGGCCUGAGAGGGUGACCGGCCACACUGGGACUGAGACACGGCCCAGACUCCUACGGGAGCAG